UGUAGGUUUUGGCAUCUGCUAAGACAACAAGUCUCUUCAGAACAGACUAAAGGAUACUAACUGUUGGAGCUCCAGCCACCAUGUAGGAAGUCUGGCUAUCCCGAGGCUGCCUUGUGGAGAGUCUACAUGGAGUGAUGACAUAUGGAAAGAAAAAAACAGCCCCAUAUCCUCCACUAACCAGAUGUUUGCAUCAUUCCAGCCCAGGCAGUGUAGGCAACCGACAGAAGAAUUCUGCGGACAGAAUUCAGGCCACUGCAGCUGUAGCUGUACACAGGCAACUGGCAUGUCUGGAAAAUCGGAUGGUAAUUCUGAUUCCAAGUUAGCAAACGUGGGACUCCCUAUCAUUUGAAUCAAUGAGCAUAUUUUCAUUUUUGGCAUUAAAGAAAUCCAGGCACAACAUUAGCAUGAUAGGUAAGUGAAGCACAAACUUCCAUUAUUUUACAACAAAAUAGACCCAAAGAUUUGGGGCUUUGGGGAGGAAUUUUUCAUUUCUGAAUUGCACAAAAUCAUUUAUAAUUACCUCUUAGUGACUUCAGUAUCACAAAUCCCUUCUGAUUAGCCCUCUUUAAAAAAGAGACGAACCUGCUUUAGAAUUGUUUGGCCCUGUUGGAAGCCCUGUCUUAGAGAACGACAGAUUAUGUAAUUAAGUUGAAUCGUGUAUUUUCCAUAGAAACAAGG
Long non-coding RNA from Leopardus geoffroyi (Geoffroy's cat), 678 nucleotides. RefSeq lists it as uncharacterized. Lineage: Eukaryota; Metazoa; Chordata; Mammalia; Carnivora; Felidae. The record is from RefSeq and is a predicted model, not a curated record. The transcript is spliced from 4 exons.